Molecule: non-coding RNA, 402 nt
Organism: Misgurnus anguillicaudatus (oriental weatherfish)
Lineage: Eukaryota; Metazoa; Chordata; Actinopteri; Cypriniformes; Cobitidae
Source: RefSeq, a predicted model, not a curated record
CCCUUUAUGGGGCAAGUAACCAUAUUUAGUCACUUCCGCACACAUUCAAAGUGCCCUCCCCCUGCCUUCAUUUGGAAUAGUAGAGUCAUGUAGUUUUCUCUUAGCCGAUCAGGGGAGAUCAAGCUAUCUCACGGAUAUUAACAUCAAGGCAUCUGACCAAUCAGUAGUGGCCUGGAGCACCUCAAACACAGCCAUCUUCCAGAAAUCAAAAAUAUUACUUUUUUGAACCUGGCUUCUCCCACAGCAAUAGUUAUAACAUCAUAACUAAACAUGCUGUCUGCUCGGCAGCUGAGAAGAGGGGUACCAUUGUUGUUCCUGUAAACCCAGUCAAGCCAGUAUCAGUACCGCAAGACCAUGUCUCUAAAUAAAUGUUCCUUGCAGCUUGUGCCUAUAAUAAAUAAA